AUGACCCUGAAUCCAUCACUCCCUGGAGAUGCAGCCGGGGCGGUGUUUUGCCUUGGGGGGUGUUUUGCUUGGGGCCGGUGGGUGGCACUGCGGCCCUACGCCGCAGGCGGUGACAGUGGAUCCACGGGACAACCCCAAAGCCACAGCGGCCCCACGGCUGUCCCGGCACCGCCGGCACCAAAGGACUGUGCCCGCCCGGCACCACCAGAGGAAGCAGCAGCAGCUGCGCUGCCAACAGGCGCUCGCGGAGCCAAAGGAGCCGAAGGAGAGGGAAAUUCUGGCCCCGAAAGGUCUCUCUUUGGGAUUUCGCUUUUCCCACCCAACGGUAAGAGCCGGGUCCAGCACUGGGACAGCACCAGGCUGCUGGGAAAGGGGGCUCUGAUGGCCCUGGGUUCCUCUUUCUUCUUGGGGUUGUGCCAUGGAGCACCACAGCAGGAGGUCGGUGUUGUGGGGUUUAUUGCUUUUGCCCCCCCACCCCGGGCCAUAAACAGAUGGGGAUGGGGGCUGGCAGUUCUCUGAAGGGCAAUGGGACGCGGUGGCUGUGGUGACACCGACCGUCCGGUGGCUUUGAGGGUUGGGGUGGCUGAAAAGUCCCAAGUCGCCUUUCUCCUGGCUUCUCUUCCUAAAUAUAAGGGGAUCUAAAUAUAAACCCGGCCUGGGCCAAGCCAAGGUUGCAGGAAAGGUCUGCAGUGCUGAGCAGUGUCCCCUUUCCGAAGGCGCUGUCCCCAUAGGGACGUACCUCUAUGUCCCCAUUCUGCACAGAGCAGAGGAAUGGGGUGGGAUUCAGCUCUGAUUUGGGGUGAGAACCCCCACUCCUGGUGCAUGGAGCAUCCCCAUGGCUGUUUUAUGGGGCAAGACGCCACGGUGACCCCCCAUCCCUGGUGACAGCCACUGUCCCAUGGGACACAAGCAAUCCAUCCUCUGCCCACACCAUGAUGUGUCCAACAUAUGGGGACAUGUUGCAAAAUAAUAGUGGAUAUCACUGAGCAUCACUUGCAUAACACCAGUGGGAAGGUUGGAUGCGUGUCCUUGGUUGUAUGGAGACCCUACAAGCAACCCUACAAGUGUGGGUGGCGGAGUGAUGCUCUGAGCUGUUCCUGGAAAAUCCCUGAUGUAAUAACGGGCACUUUAAUGGGAAUUGGGCAAUUGAGUCCCACGGGAUUAAGUUGUGCUGAUAUUUGGAGAGCAUUUUCCACUCCCAGGGCAAAGGGUCCCAGUGCAGCGGCUGUGUGUUCCUGUGGGAAGACUGCUGGAGUUGAGGUAUGAAGGGAGAAGUUGCUUUGGGGUGGGUGAUGGCAGAGGAAUAAUGCAAGAAAUAAGGGCGUGAGGGUCCAGCGUGGGUCUAAUUUGGGUCCAGUGGUAUCCGAUAGGGGGAAAUCGGUAUCCUUUAGGAUGAGGUGCUGCAGGGACCACAGUAUGGCAAACCCUAUGUGAUCUCCAUCUCCCAUUGCCAGCACUGUGAACCCAUUGUCACCCAUUAUGGGACGAGCUGACAUCCCGCUCCCAGCCUGGGCAGGACGGGGUUAGUGUCAGUUGCUGGGGGAUGUUGCAACCUCCUAUUUCCAUCUGCGGGCAGGAGAGCAUCCCAGGACUUCGCAGCUUGCAGCCUAUGUGUGCCACCCCCAGCUCCGAGUACAUCGAGGUACCGUGGGGGCAUUAAAGCGCCCGUACCCCAUAUGGGAUGGUAGCAAUUAAUGGAUAUCAUGGAGUUAAUUUCCACACAGCUCACGGGUACAGGGCAGGCAGAGGGGAGAAGUGCUGUGUGUUCCCCUGAGCAAGACAGAAAGCAGAAGCUUGGUGUGAUUGGUGUGUGAGGGGAGCAGCAAUGUCUGUGUUUGGGGGGUUGGUGGUGUGUGUGAGUCCCAAAUGGGGAAGGGCAGAGGGAUGCUGGUGGGCAGCACCACGGAGUUGGCCAUGCAGAGCAAGCUGGGGAGCAUAGGGACCCACGGCAUGGAACUGGGGCCCAUCACCCCAUUGGCACCCAUUGCUCAGAGCCCCACAGCAGGGGCAGCCCCUACCCCAAGGCAGCAAAAAUCCCACCUGAAAACCCAGCGUGUUCUUUUGCAUCAAGCCAUGCAUCCAUCCCAGCCAUGCGGGUGCUGCUGUGCAUCCAGUGGGUGACCCCUGUUGGUCCCCACCGAGCAGAAGGACCGUGGUGACAAUAAGGAGCGUGGCAUUGCUUGCCAAAGGCAGCUCUCCCAUGUUGCUGCACAGCUCCCAGCAUGACAGAUGCUGCCUGGAAGCAUCCUGCAUUCCUGCAUUCCGGAAUGCACCAAACCACCCAGCAGCACUGGGAGGGCAGCAUCGCCUGCAGGGAUUUCCAGACCCUAAAAAGCCUCCCCUUAAAGGAGAGCAGCCUACAGACAGAGUGAGGACAUGGGGAGCUGAGAUGGGGCUGCAUCCCCCCCAGUUGGGGUCAGGGGAGGCAUUUGAUCACAAAACUUGGAGUCACUGUGUAUCUCCCCAGGUCGGCUUUGUAAUGCGUAGCCAAGCAUUGAGGCAUGGCCGUAUAUCUGGGGUUAGCAAACACCAGGCUCUGAAAUAGAACGUUAUCAUCUUACCGAAUGGGACAUCGAGUUGUUUAUAAAUGGGCCCAUUUCACCCAGCCGAGCUGCUCUGUUUGUCCCAGUUGCUGCUGGAAACUCCUGGAAUCCCACAAACACUCACCCAGCUCUGGGCUCUGGUCUGUGCACUGUUAAACCUUCCAGCAGAGCUCUCUUCUCCCUGCGUUGAGAUUGUUCCCCAUUUUCCCUUUUUUGUUGGCUUUUUGGGUGCUUUUUUUGGGGGUGAAAAACAAAACAGGACUUGCUCAAGCCACAGCAUCCAUAAAACAAUACCUGGAGGAUUAUCUUUCCUCUAACCAUCAGCAAAGAGCUGUGUCACCACCUUGUAUUCAUGUACCUUCAUAACCUUAAAUACCCACAAAUAAAACCUAUGGCAGCCAAUGGCA
Molecule: long non-coding RNA, 2950 nt
Organism: Coturnix japonica (Japanese quail)
Lineage: Eukaryota; Metazoa; Chordata; Aves; Galliformes; Phasianidae
Source: Ensembl